Molecule: long non-coding RNA, 540 nt
Filed under: Pogona vitticeps (central bearded dragon)
Lineage: Eukaryota; Metazoa; Chordata; Lepidosauria; Squamata; Agamidae
Description: lncRNA (ENSPVIG00000019633.1)
Source: RNAcentral
GGUUUAUAAAGCGUCAGGUGAAGAAAACUAAAUAUAUUUUUUUGCUUCAACAUCUCUACUAUUUCAUCCAUCUGCUUUAUUUCAGAACAGCAACUCUCUGUGCCAAACCCUGGAAAUUCCUGGAAGAAGUCAAUGUUAUGUCUUGUGGGAAACAGACACAUAACAGCAUCCUGAAGAUUCUGGAAAACCUCAAGAACACUGAGUCAAAAGAAGAACGAUUAGGGCGCUUGAAAAAGAGGGGGAAAGACCUUCGUUGAAGCAUAACGGAAACCACUACAUAUCCUGCUAUCAACAAAAUACUUGUCAGAACACAGCACACCACUUUGCAAUGUGCCAUCAAUGUUUUAGUAGCUCCCUUCUGACAGCCAUGAGAAGCCAAUGAAAAAUUGAUGGGACAAUAUGGUCUGUAAGUAUGCAUAAUUAAAUGAUUCUAUUCUAUGAAUUUCCCAUUAGUUACCAAACAUGUGUCAACUUCAAUAGAUGGAACAAGUGACUAAUAGCCAUAAUAAACUGCUAGAUUUGGAUAAAUUUGAAAAAUCU